Non-coding RNA from Linepithema humile (Argentine ant), 656 nucleotides. The record is from RefSeq and is a predicted model, not a curated record. NCBI's taxonomy places the organism in Eukaryota, Metazoa, Arthropoda, Insecta, Hymenoptera, Formicidae.
AUCGCGAUCCUUCAUACCGUUGUCGUUUAGCCGAUCACAAUAACGUUUCUCGCGAUUUGUUUGGACAUUUAACUAUAUCGAACUCGAUUCUUCUUAGAAAAAGAAAUCUAUCAAAACUUGAAAAAAAGAUAUCAUAUUGGUCAAUAUACUGGUCGUAACUGCUAGAAAUUCAAACAAGACAAAAAGAUGAGUUUCAAAACAAACUUGUUAUUCGUAUUUAUUACCUUCAGUAUUUUGACGCUUGAGACACUAACAAUAAGUAUAAGAAAAACUAGAAUAGCUUUUGACAGAACUUUGUGUGCUCUUCCGUAUAACGAAGGUUCUUUUUGCAUUGAAAAUCUACCGAGAUGGUGGUAUAAUGAGGCUACGAGACGCUGUGAAAUUUUUAUAUAUAGGGGUUGUAAUGGAAAUGCAAAUAAUUUUGAAGAUAAAGUAGAAUGCGAACGCAAAUGUGCAUACAGUAGGAAGGAGUAUGUAAAAUUUUUGCGUGAUAUGUUGCGUGGCUAUACUGGCAGAGUGACGUUUACGGAAUAGUUUGGUAAUGAGUUUAAAUAGAAGUACUAAUUGAAAGACUGUGAAGUCUUUAUAAAAUACUUGUAAAAGUGUUUUAUUUUUACAAUAAUUGACUGUAAUAAAAUGAAAUGUACGGAUAUAUA